This is a long non-coding RNA of Otolemur garnettii (small-eared galago), 1143 nucleotides long. RefSeq lists it as uncharacterized. NCBI's taxonomy places the organism in Eukaryota, Metazoa, Chordata, Mammalia, Primates, Galagidae. The transcript has 3 exons. The record is from RefSeq and is a predicted model, not a curated record.
UGAGGGGCUGGGGCUGGGGCGGGGGUGGGGAGCGGUCUUCUGCCUCACCGACCGGUCCCCGCCUGGUCCCUCUUCCCCAUGCACCCACCCGCACCUCUCCUAGCUCCUCUGCUGCCCGACGGCCGGCAACCGGGCAAACGAGGAAGUGGGCAGCGAGGGCGGAAACCCAGCCCGGCGCAAAGUCUGCGGCAGGGCUGUCCGAUUCUGACUCAGGAGGACGCCCUGACAGCUGCCAAACGGUCCCGCCUGCCCGUUACCUCCGUGCCCCAAAUGUCUGGUAAUUUGCAAAGGAGCCGCUGCCCCCAGCACCCCACCUCAUCCGCACCCGUUCGGCUAGGCCCACGGGACCGCAGCUCCCCGGAAGGGGUUAAAAAGUUUGCCCAACUCGCGCCCGGGCGCGGCGAGGGCGGGGCGCGUGCCCCCGGCGCAGGGGAGGUCGGCUCCCGGGUGCCCCGUCCCGGGAAUGCGCGGGGCGGGAGCUGGGGGCUGGACAGCGUGCCCCGCUCCCUGAGGCCUUGUUCCCGGCGCCCACCCCCUCGAGCUGCCGCGCAGGGCUCCAGGACCCUCGGGGAAGGAUGCGGUGCCCGGGUCCCGGCCGCCCGAACUCGCGCCCGCCUGCGCAGAUCGCCAGCAGCGACCAGGCCGAGAACCACACGUCGGCCCGCUCGCCCCAGACGUCGCGCGUCUCGUCGCCGCCCUAGCCGGCCCGGCCGGGGCGGAACCCGCUGGUGGGGCUCGCUCACCUGAACCUGAAUCUGCCCAGGGGAACAGGCGCUGCUUCUCCCGAAAGGACUUUCUCGAGCGCUCUGGCGGCAGCGGUGUGGGACGAGCACGCGAGGCGGGAGCUGCAGCAGGAAGGGCGUGGGCGGAGCCUCUGAUGGUAGAGGGGUGGGGAUUCAGCCUACCCAUCCAUCCCCAUCACCACCCGCUUCACCUUCCCCCGCGCUUCCUCGGCGGGAGCCCCGCCUCCUAGGGCGGGUCCAACGGACAGCCAGGUUUUAGGACAAAGAUUGACACAGGAUACUGUCCACUACAGGAGGAUAAUUUUUUUAUUUGUUUUUAAAAAUAUUUUACAUGUAUCUUUUAAUCAACCUGGAAUUUAUCUUGUUGGAGAGAGGAAGAAAUAUAACAAUUUUUGUAAUA